GAUCAAACAAACCUUUCAUAAGUUUUAGAACAAAAAAUAGAAAUUUACUUAUAAAGCCAAACAGAAGAAAUAUAUAAAUUACAAAAUUAUUUUUAAAUAGAUCAAAUAUUAUAUUUAUUUCUUAAAACUGCAUUAGUUUUAUAUUUUUAAAAAUUAAACUUUUUUACCUUAAAAAUAAGACAACCGUUCAAUAUACGAUGGACAACGUCCAUUCAAAGAUUUGACGUCUAUCAAAUACUGCAACACCAACAGGAGUGGAUGAUGAAUGAAGUGGCUGAGGUUGAUGGGGGCAACAGUGCUGGUUCAGUGGCCUGAAGCAAUGCCGGACAUGCAGCCCUCGAGGACAUUGAUUAGUCAGUGGCGCUUCAGCUUCUUGGGCCAUUGUUUGGGUCUGUUAUUUUGUUUCAAUCCCUUUCAGUCUGUUAACUUUAGUUCCUGGCUUGUAUUACUGUUUAAUUUAUUAGAAUUCUGGUUUGUAAUAUUCUGGAUAUUGGGCCCGUAGGGGGUUUUGUUUUCAACCCUUUCCUUAUUUCAAUGAAUAUUUUGCUUAUCAAAAAAAACUCCUAGAACAAAAUUGUGAUGAGCUAAAGAAACAUAAACCCACAUACAAAAAAUCCAAACGGAAUGGAUAAAAGCCAAUGAAUGCAAGUGGGCCCCUGACAUCCAAAUAAUUGUUUAGCAGGAGUACCAGUUUGGAAUUGUGUUGCUAAUUUGUUAUGUGAAUCCAGUCGGAAGUAAUUCUUUUAUUUCAGAAAAGAAAAUCGGUCUUCUUCCAAGAACCCUGAAAAAAAAAAGGAAACAAGAAGAAUAUAAGUCGAUAUAUAUAAUAGAUUAUAUAUAUUAUAAUAAAAAAUAUAUCCAAUAAUUAAUUAUUAAUAAAAUCACGUGUAUAUGUAUCAAAAUAUUCACACAAUUAUGAUAACUCAUAAUUGAGACAAUUAAACUCUUAAUUAAGGCACAGUUAAUAAAAUAUUAACGUUCUCAAUUAAGACAUAAUUAACGCCUUCAAAUAAGGCACAAUUUACGCCCUCAAUUAUGAGGCACAAUAAACGCCCUCAACUAUGAGGCCAAUUAGUAGGCACAAUUAACGCCCUCAGCACGAUUAACGCCAUCCUUCUAUACUGAUCCCGGAACUGUCGUCGCCGCAACCCUCGGCCACCACCGCUACGCUGUCUCUCCCGCACACGAUCGUGAAGAGGACGAUGACCACCUAAAAUAUAUCCGUCGGUAGAAGUAACAUACACCAAACCAACAAACCUCGGAGCCUCAAACGAAGACCUCAAAAAACUCGAAUCACAGUAAAGAGACAAACCACCUUGCCGGAAAAUAUGGUCUCGCCGGAGAAUGAAGGAAGGAGCUGGCUGGAAAAUACAGAACUCUGUGUGUAUGAAUGUGUAGUGGUGGUGGGGAGAUGAUGAUUGGGAAUAAAAAUGAUUAUAUAACAUGAGUUUGUCGUUAUGGUAUUUGUAAGCUGCUAGAGAGAAAGAGAGAAGAGACUCAAAUGGUAUAUAGAUUUUUGUACUCCAACUUUGAUCGAAAGCAAAUAUAAUCAGAAGUAAUUGGUUUAUCUGUUCAUUUAAAAUAUAUUAAAAUUUUAUAAUACAUUGGAAAUUUUUAAUUAAACCAAAGUAUUAUCGGAAAUUUAAUAAAAUAAUUUUAAAAGAUCAAUUCAAAAAUUUUAAAUAAAUCAAAAAAAUUGAGAACAUUAACAUCGGAGUUGAGUCGACGAAUCAGACCAUAAACAAACAGACACAUGCACCAAUGCCGCCUAAACUGAACCUCCCUCUUGUCUGAAUCAAACUGCCCGUAAAUCAUUGUCUGAAGAUAUAUCAAGCAUUGAACAAACAACAAUAAGCAAGAAAAUGGUGCUCUCGUCUCGAAUAUUAGCUCUUUCCUACCACCCUGCUUCGCCACAACUUUUUAUAUAUAAUAAUAAUAUUAAUUCUGCCUUGUUGACCUUCAGACCAAACCUCAAAACCAACCUCAAAUGUCGAUCCAUGCCGUCCGAUUAUGAUUCUUCUUCUUCUUCUCCGCUUGAUUCCGAUUCACCUGAAACAAAUGUUUCUGGGUAUGCCAAUUCUUUUACUCCUCUGCAUAUGCAUCAUCACUUACAUAUUUUACAUACAGCUUCUGUUAAUUGUUAUAUAUGAUUUUUAUUUAAGUUGGUUUUUGUUUAUCACUUAUUUCUGCUUGUACAGAUAAUCAUAAACAUAAUUUGAGACAGGGUUUGAUUUGUAGUUACCACUUACUUGAUCUUUCUGGCAAUCAGAAAUUGCUGCCUUGGGCUUAGAGUAUGAUAUGAUAUCCAACUUCAUCAGAGUGCUUAGUAGUGUACUGUGUUUUGCAAGUCGAAAAAAGAAAUUCUCGGAUUUAUGGCGAUUAGUUUUCAAAAUCCCUGCUGCUUUAUGAUCAUCUUUCAGUGUUUGGAAAAAAAAAAAAUUUGAUUCAAUUUACAUUAGAUCUCGACAUGAUAAAUUCUGAUUGUUAUUAUACAGUUUCUUGAAUUGUUAUGAUAGAUUUUUUGUCAUUGUGAA
RNAcentral lists this long non-coding RNA (2534 nucleotides) under Daucus carota (carrot). RNAcentral's name for it is "long non-coding RNA (DCAR_LNC001796)". The record is from RNAcentral. Lineage: Eukaryota; Viridiplantae; Streptophyta; Magnoliopsida; Apiales; Apiaceae.